CGGAGGGUGCAAGCGUUGUCCGGAUUUAUUGGGUUUAAAGGGUGCGUAGGCGGCUUUUUAAGUCAGCGGUGAAAUACUUCAGCUCAACUGGAGUCGUGCCGUUGAUACUGGGAAGCUUGAGUACUGAUGAAGUGGGCGGAAUUGAAGGUGUAGCGGUGAAAUGCAUAGAUAUCUUCAAGAACACCGAUUGCGAAGGCAGCUCACUAAGGAGUAACUGACGCUGAGGCACGAAAGCGUGGGUAGCAAACAGGAUUAGAUACCCUGGUAGUCCACGCCCUAAACGAUGAUUACUCGAUGUUUGCAGGUUACUGUAAGCGUCCAAGCGAAAGCGAUAAGUAAUCCACCUGGGGAGUACGCCCGCAAGGGUG
Molecule: ribosomal RNA, 368 nt
Filed under: uncultured organism
Description: bacterial SSU rRNA
Rfam family: Bacterial small subunit ribosomal RNA
Source: RNAcentral